Micromonospora nigra is the source of this 75-nucleotide non-coding RNA. It matches the Rfam family "ASpks TB sRNA". The record is from Rfam. NCBI's taxonomy places the organism in Bacteria, Bacillati, Actinomycetota, Actinomycetes, Micromonosporales, Micromonosporaceae.
CUUGACCGACCCCAGCCACAGCGGCCGGUCGGCGGGUCGGCCCGGCCCGUACGCGGCGAUCAGCGCCUGCGCCUC